This 8040-nucleotide long non-coding RNA is filed under the name Triticum aestivum (bread wheat). RNAcentral's name for it is "long non-coding RNA (TAES_LNC010101)". Lineage: Eukaryota; Viridiplantae; Streptophyta; Magnoliopsida; Poales; Poaceae. The record is from RNAcentral.
UUGUUGGAUAUUCGUGAUGUUGUGCGAGAAAUCAUGGGUAAAGAUCAAGCUCCUUGUGGUCACUUAAUUAUUACUAUGGUAUUGUUUAUACCAAGCUUGAUUUGAUCCUGAGAUGAUCGUGUAAUGUCCGAGGUGGGUAAGUGAUGCACGUGAUGGUUACGAGAUAACCCGAGCAGAAUAAUUGGUGCAUAUAGUGUCAUCAUGUUGCAUGCUAGUAUCAUCAGGUUUAUAUGUUCAUGCUAUGCUCAUAUUGUUCUAGUUGUAUCAGGUUCAUAUUGCCUUUGUAUUCUUAGUGGCUAUUAUGAUUAUUUUCAUGAUGGUAUCUGGUAUUAUUUGGAGUAUUACUUUGGAUAUCAUGUGCUCAUGUCAUGUUGUUAUAAUGAUGUCAUGUUAAUUCCUGCUUAACCUGUAAUUGCCAUGCUGUUGUUUGUCUUGAAUGCUUCUGGUUAUUGUGAGCUUGCAAGUACAUUCAAUGUUCUGACCUGGCGUGUCAUGCCAGCUUGUAGGUCGUGCCUGGAUUGCUUGCUUGUUUGGUGUUGUUCUUGUGUUUGCGUGCUAGGAUAAACGUUCCAGCCAGAGUCCCUGCGGAUUGGAGUCCAUCAUCGCCGUUCGUUGUUCCGCUGCCAGUAGUUGUUUCCGCUGCUUCAAGUAUUAUGCUGAUUGUAUAGAGCAACCGUGGUUGGCGUAGUGUCGCCGUGCCAAAGUAUUCAUUGUAAUAUCGGAACCCUUGUUAUCAUAUUUGUGUAGUAAUAGAGAGCUGGUUUGUUCUAUGCUAAGUAGUGCCGUAUUCCAGAAGACUUCACCUUGAUCUCUGGGCUGGAAUACGGGGCGUUCCGGUUUUCUCUGAGCCGGGGUGCCACAACACUUGGUAUCAGAGUAGGUCUGGCUAUAGAGCGUCCUAGUCCGCUGGAACGUUAGAAAACGGUAACAUAGGGUCUGGUUGUUGCCCUUUCUUGUUGCAUUUGUUUGAUGGAUAUAGUCUUAUUGCGGUUACCAUUAACCCCUGUUUCAUGCGUAGAUGGUGGUCAACUUCCAUGAGUUCAGUGCUCUUCCCUUAGCUUCCGGUGUUGUUCUUAUGGAGUUCAGUCCCACUCCUGCGCCUCUCAGCUUUGCCGCCCUCCUUGGCGACAUGUGGCGUAGUAUUUAUCCCCUCGGAGAUCCACAUCAUUAUCAAGUAUUCCAGUUUUCUGCUGGAGGAAGAAUUCAGGAAUAUGUUUCUCAUGUUCAUCUGUCAGCCCCGAUUCCUGUCGGUAAGCGCACCUACAGUUUCCACGGUGGUUACGGUGCUACUCUAGAGCGUGCCGUUCAGCUCGCCGCAAUGGCAGGAGUCACCAGUCUUCGUCACAAAGAGAGCAUGGUGCAGGAGAAUCAUGCUUAUCAAUAUUAUCCCACCAUCACCGAGAAUCCUAGGCGAAUCCAAUUUCCCUCCGUCAACCCUCAAGACGACCCGGCUAUCCUAGCCAUGUCUCGUUACAUGACGGCCGAGUGUCUUCUUAUUUCUAAGUUAGUCCGAGAUGCCAUUCGGACCAGGAGAUUUCUUGGUGUCGCUUUACCUUAGUCUCUGCCAGCUUCUCCAACUCCUCCGCCACGUCCAUCCGGAACUUCAGAGUCCGCGGUUCCACUCGCUACUCCCUUAGCUUCCUCGUCAGUUCGCGAGCAUUUUCUCAAGCGUAGGAUGUAGUCCUUCGUGUAGCGCUUGUGAAUCCGCUGUAGUAUCAUGCUUGUGUGUGUCUGUGUGGAGCAGCUUUGUAUCUUGUUUGCUGUGUACUUUGUUGCAAUAAAUUGUUUUCUUGUGCUUCUUUGUUUUUAAUCCCCGGUGUUACCCCCUUAUGGAAAUUUUUCCUCGACCGACACCGAAUCAGAAGGAGCCGUAAGCAGUACAGAUAUACACCAAGGAAGUCAGUUAAAAUCAAUGAGGUUUUCAGCCGACAACAUUGUAUUGCAGACAUCCGUCCUGAUACAAAUUGUAUUUUGAUUAGACUUUCAGCAACAAGUACCUGUCAGAGAUACACUUUAUCACAUUAAAGAUUAAAUCAGCAAGAGAACAAAAUUGGAUCGACAGUGCAUUUCAAGUCAAGGGUAUGGGCUAUGCACAAUGAUUGAAUCUGACAUAAGUCAAAAUUUAAAUAUUGCGACACCCAGAAGUCAGUCCAAUUGCACGGUGAAUUCAGUAAGGACAGUCAGACAAUUCCUGUCAUAUCAAUAAUCAAUUGCCGUACUGACAAAUAUAUAUAUAUAUAUAUAUAUAUAUAUAUAUAUAUAUAUAUAUAUAUAUAUAUAUGUCAUUCCCAUCACCAAGAAAAUCAGUCCCAUCCUUCUCCACAAUGUAUUGACAAAGUGUAAAUAGAUAAGGUUCCCAGUCUGCAUCGAUAGGGUAUGAAUGGAUUCCCAUGCAAGAUAUUCAGUCUUCUCGAUAAAAUACUGCAAAAGCUUCCGGCUUAAGGUACCGAGGCUUCCCUAGCAAGUCUUUAAGGGGGUAAGCUUAUAAGGUACGGUACCCCGAUCUCCUUAAUAAGAUAUCCACUGAUGGCUUCGAGCAUAAGCCCCCAAACCUUCCUCAGCACGAUACCCCGAUUGCUUCUUAACGCAAGCUUCCCAGUAUUCUUCUGUACGGCACUAAUACAAGACAUUAAAUUAUGAAUUGUCAGCAUAUGGAAGUGUUUUCCAAGUGGCAUAUCUGCAACAACAAGUCUUGAAGGAAAGAUCACAUUGAGACCAUAAUCUUGGCAGUGAUUAUAAAAAUCAGCCUCACAAGGUGAUAUUAUUAACCCCGUCACUGUCCGGCAUAAUCCACAACACGAUUGAUAUCUGUAUAACCACACGUGAGCCGGAUAAGUAUACCGAGGCUCAAAACCUGAACCAGACCAAUGUAUGUCAGUUAUUAUGUGAAAAAUGUGGAUGCCCAAGACUGUCUUAUUCCACGGCAAACCCAAGCAAAGAACCACCCAAGAAGUAUACUCCAUUGUGGUACUGGACAACUCAAUAUAUUAACCUCAACACCCAUGAUGGAGCUUUGCACAGACUGUUGUUCCCAGAGAGAUACUGGCAACAAUGAAGAAUCCGUGUGAAAACAUAUAUGUUGAGGAUCGUUAUCUCUCACAUAGGGGAAGCAAUGAAAGGAAUAGCCUAUGUAAAUGGGAUUCUUUGCCAAGAUCACCGGCAGUCAAGUUUGCAAAUCUUAUCAUCAGGAGAUGGUGCAUUUUUUCUAUCAGUCGCGACAAGCAAAAGUCAAACCUUUGGGACAACCUGGAUACUCUAGACUGUGAAGCCAGUCAAGAUAACUCAAAAACUCAUGCAAGAUGUCAGCAUCCGUUAGCAGAAAUAAAUAUGAUCCACAUCACUAUUUUGGAACUAGAAGGCAUGUCUAUAUUCAAGGAAUCCGAUGCCUGGAUAAAAAGGAUUCGUUGUUCCACGGGAAGAUAUAUUCCCCAACUCCGUGGAAUGUUCUCGGUACUCGAUACUAGAAUAUCAUUUUCAGCAAGGAUCAAUAUCAAGAAGGACAAGUAUGUCCGUAAAAAUAAUAUUUUGGAUGCUAGCUCAGCCAAAGAAAAUUUUGAGGGACAUCUGAGGUACGUCCUGUCAGAAUGUCAGAUCCAGUGAAGCAAACCACCCCAGAUCAAGACAAUCAGUCAGAUCUAAUUCAGUGGAAAUAUUAUGAAUAAAAGAAACCUGAGUGGGAAACGGUUUCUUCAAGUCAGAAAGAUUAUUUAACCCUGAGCAACCAAAUCUCGAGGAUGAGAUUUCUUUAAGGGGGGGAAGGUUUGUAACAGCCUGGAUUUUUGCCCUUUUCUUUUUUCCUUUGAUUUUCUGGGAUUUCCUGUUUGGAUUUGCUUUUCCACGGCUAUGAGGGUCUGAAACCUGGGAAUAUCAUGUCUUCCUAGGUUUUAUAGUGGCUUGUCGCCCUCAUCAUCAUCUCAAGAUCAUCUCAUUUCCAUCCUUGACCUAACCCAAAAUUAUUUUGUUGGUAAUAUUCCUUUUCUGAUAAAGGAAUAACCCUUAAAACCCUAUGUUGUGAAGCAACCUAUAUUUCUGUCACUCCUAAAAUUCCCAAAUAAUUCUCAUAAAUUGUUUGGGUCACAUAUUCCUCAAAUAUGGCAAAAUAUUUCAUUGCCAUGUUCAAAACUAAUCCUCCAAUAAUUCUUUUCCUAUUCUGCCCUAAAUGGCACUUUGCAAAGGAAGUGCUGUUUAUAUUUGCUUGAUUGACCCCAAAUUCUUGGACAUCUUUCACUGUCCAUAUCAUUGGAUCAUGCCAAAAUUUAGCUCAAUUUGCCUAGUAAAUAUUUUUCAGCAAUUUUCGAAAGUUUCUGUCCAGGAAGGAACUUUGUGAAGGAGCUAUAUUCUAGGCAUAUCCAAAUGAGUUGCAAUUUUCGCAGGGUCUUUCCUAGUGUAAAAUAAUGACUCUCCACAAAAUAUGAGCUCAUGUAACUCAUCUAUGUGAGCCUAGCUCCAAAUCUUAGUUUCUGGUCAGAUUUUCAGUUUAUGAAGCAACCAUAUUUUAUAUUGCUUCAAUUAGGCUUAAACUUUACCAGGACAAGCUUCUACCUAUAUAAACUAUUCCCAACAAGUUUUACCUCAAAUGGUUGAUCCAAUUACCCUGUGUAAUUUUUCCAAGUUUCUGUCGAGAAUGGAGCUUUGUGAAGCAAGUGCCACUUUGGUAUUUCCAAAUGGCAUGAAAUUUUUACAGAAGAUUCAUAUCAUCAUAAAACCCCUCUAUGCCAAGUUUCAGCUCACAUAGAUCAAGUAUGUGAGUGCAUCAUCCAAAUCCCCAAUUCUGGCCAGUUUUGCACUUUCUACUGCAACCACCAUCUAAACUCCUCUUAGUCUGAUUUUUGUUGAUCCGCAUCACUUUAGUGUGUGAUCAUCGCCAGACAAACUCUUUACCUUGUUACCUUGCUGGUUUAACCAUAGCAAGUUACAAACACCUUGUUACUGAUUUACUUUUGGAGCUAAGUGCAAAUCUCUUUUUUGCCCCUGGACCGAUUUAUUUCUUCAGUUGGACUAAGGGCACUGGGGUCCAUCCACUGGACAUGGUUGGCCACGCCAAAGAGCGCCGCUUGCGCCAGUGCGCGUGGUGAUCACGCUUGCGUCAUGGCUGCAUGCGUGCUCUGGAUUGUUCCGGCCACUAUGCUCGUCUCCUCCCUCCUUGCCUCGACCUCAAUUCGUGUCCUAGAGCUUCCCCGUGAACGACUGCAUCUCCCUGCAAUGGAGCCUCGUCGUGGUUCGCCAUUAAUGCGUUGCUAGAGUAGUGCCCAUGCCGUGCUCAGCCCCUGACCUCUAUUAGUGCACUGCUCCAGCUCGGUUGUGAGCACCAGAGCCAUUCCCGCGGCUAUUUAAGUGUGCCCCGAGCCCCUCCGCAGCUCAUCCACUCCUCACUUGCCUCCCUAGCCCACCAGAGCCCUCAGCCUGCUCCUCUUUUAGCCGGAGUUCUCCAUGGCCGCCUCGGCCUCGGCAUGAUUCCAGCCAAGCCAGCCCUCCUCUCCUCCUUCCAAGCUGUCCACCAGAGCCUCCUUGCCACAGCGGUUCGCCCCAACACCUUACCCCUCGCUGGAGAGCCCCGUGGCCGCGCCUCCCGGAGGUUGGCUGUUGCCGUUGCUCUCGGCCACCACCUCGACCGUGACCAUCCAAAGCUCCUUCCUCCCUCCUGACUCCACCACUGCGUUCCCCUCGUCCUGUAGAGCCGCCCCACCCCCUCAUCUCUCGCCGGAGCGCCCUGCUUCACCGGAAAUCAUCACCACCGCCGCCUCUCUGUCCACCUCCAUCGCCGCGGCCUCCCGUCCUCUCCACCCCUCCCCAGCAUCCGAUUCCUCUCUGAACGGGUGCGGCACGCCACCCUGAAGCCGCCGGUGCCCUCGCCUUGGCCUGGAGCGGCCAGAGUCGGUGGGGCUAGCACCGGCAACGCUCCUGUCCCCCUCUCCUGCUCUCUGUCGUGACCGAGCAUGGGGGGAGGAAGAAGACGAUCGCUUGCCCCCCUGCUGCGUGGGACCCCUCUAUAAGUGGCUAAGGCCACGGGUCCACGUGGAUAAGUGACGACGUAAUCCGGUGAGUACGUUUUCACUAUCCGAAGACGUAUUACAUGGGAAUACGUUUUCUUCUUCCAAAAGCACAUUUCUUUCCUCAGCUGCUAGGAAUACAUUUACAUUUUCAAAAAGCGUAUUUCCUAAUAUGCGUUUCUGUCUUAUCCACUCAGGGACCCAUUGGUGAUGAAAACUUUCACAGAUUGGUCCCUGAUCUUCUACACCUUAUAACUCCGCAACCGUAACUCCGAUUGAGGUGAAACCAGUGCUCACUUCUUCGUCUCGUCGAGCUAUAUCUUUUGGUAACAUUUUCACCAGGUGGUUUCACAGUGAAAAUGAAUAUUUUUCCCUUGCCUCCAAUCAGCCUCCUCCGAGAGAAAACCGUCCGCGUUUCGUUCCGCGGCUUCACCGCACUUCUUCCUGCAGUCUCCGUCACCCCAGGCAAGCCACAAUACCCACUUGCAUGAUAGUCAUGCAGUAGCCAUGGUUUUCAACUUGAAUAUUUAUUAAAUGAUUGCUUGUUUAAAAUAUGGUUAUCGUUGUUUCGAAAAUGCUUCUGGGAUUAUGCUUACUUGUUUGUUAUGUUGCUAUGCACCUGGUUAUCCUGCCCUGCUAGUUGCUAGUAUUAUUUUCAUAUUACCAUGCUUGAUAGUAGUACAUGUUGGGUUGGUCAUGUUCUUCGGUGCAUAAUUAACAUCGGUUAUCGAGACUGUUACUAUGCAUUGUUCCUUUGCUGUUAGUUGGUUAAGUGUUACUCGGUAAUAUUAUUGAUGAGUUCUUGCAUGUUAUUUAUGGUUGAUGAUAAUGGUCAUGUUAUGCUAUGAGUAGUGUUGCACUUGUAAUAUUUAUGCUCGUCAUUAUGCCAUGUUCAUUUGGAUAUUAUUUCAUAGUUGAUGUGGUGGAUAGUUAUGUUGCAUCCCGUGAUUAUGUUGAUAUCAUGCUCAUGCAUUGUAAUUGCAUCAUGUUAUUUUAUCAUGGCUCAACAUUUUGCAUUCAAGUUUAACCGGAUUUAAUUGAACUUGAACAACUGUUGGCUGAGUCAUGGUGCCGCCAGAUCGAAACUGACCAGUGCAACCACACUUACCAUAUGGGUAAGGUCCUAACUGGGUCUAUUGUCGUGCAUCUCGCCGGUGCCUCCAACUAGGUAAGGUUAUGGGCGUGCGGUACCCUGGCCCAGUAAGCAGACAUAAUCUUGUGUGCCCAUUGUUUUUGUUUUUAUGGAUCCCGUACCCGUGAGGGAGUUUUGACCACGACGGUUGUCGGGGUGUCUAUGGUAGACACGGGGCCACCCAGGACUAGUCUAGUUGGGAGUGGUUUGGAGUGGCCGGGAGAGUGUCACGGCAGUAGAUCGGUUUUGUCGAAACGCCGUUGGUCCACCCAAAUGGGAGUUCGAUGCCAUGGGUUCCGUGGUGUGGGUACUGUGUGCUACCUCUGCAGAGUGUAUAUUAAACCUAUCGAUAGCCGCACCCACGCAUAAGGGCCCAGUUCGUGUCUGUCCCACUGUGAGUUAACAAUAUUAAUAAUAACUUGAUUAAUGACAACCCCGGUUCGGUGAUGAAAUAAGUUGGUGGUGAUCACCGUAAGGAUCACGAGUUACUUUGGUGGUGAUCGCCGUAAGGAUCACGAGUUACUUUGGUGAUGAUCGCCGUAAGGAUCAUGAGUUACUUUGGUUGUGAUUGCCGUAAUGAUCACCGUGGUAUCGAGGAUACUGAGUUGUUGGAUAUUCAUGAUUUUGUGCGAGAAAUCAUGGGUAAAGAUCAAGCUCCUUGUGGUCAUUUAAUGACUACUAUGGUAUUGUUUAACCAAGCUUGAUUUGAUCCUGAGAUGAUCGUGUAAUGUCCGAGGUGGGUAAGUGAUGUGCGUGAUGGUUACGAGAUAACCCGAGCAGAAUAAUUGGUGCAUAUAGUGUCAUCAUGUUGCAUGCUAGUAUUGUCAGAUUUAUAUGUUCAUGCUAUGCUCGUAUUGUUCUAGCUGUAUCAGGUUCAUAUUGCCUUUGGAUUCUUAGUGGCUAUUAUGAUUAUUUUCA